GUGGCUUUGUCCUCCAAUGGAGUGUAAUCAAACAGCGCUCGCAUGUAGACCUGAAGAAAACACAUGAAGAACAACAAUCGUACAUGAGGACAAGAACAAAAGUUGAAAGACAUGAGGAGCUGCCGUUGACCUCUCUCAGUUCAUCACCGACAUGCACCAGACCUGCGGAUAGAGGAGGACUACCUGAUUUACAGAUUCACUACCACAUGUUCAAGCUGUACCUGCUGUGUGUGAUCCAUAAUACACUUUA
This is a long non-coding RNA of Sinocyclocheilus rhinocerous, 250 nucleotides long. RefSeq lists it as uncharacterized. Lineage: Eukaryota; Metazoa; Chordata; Actinopteri; Cypriniformes; Cyprinidae. The record is from RefSeq and is a predicted model, not a curated record. The transcript has 3 exons.